AGUAAUCGCGCAUCAGCCAUGGUGCGGUGAAUACGUUCCCGGGCCUUGUACACACCGCCCGUCAAGCCAUGGGAGCCGGGGGUGGCUUGAAGUGCGUCGCCGCAAGGCGCGCCCUAGAGCAAAACUGGUGACUGGGGCUAAGUCGUAACAAGGUAAC
This 157-nucleotide ribosomal RNA is filed under the name uncultured bacterium. Its description in RNAcentral is "partial 16S ribosomal RNA". It matches the Rfam family "Bacterial small subunit ribosomal RNA", at positions 1337 to 1500 of the family's 1533-position model. The record is from RNAcentral.